CCAAUAGCGUAUAUUAAAGUUGUUGCAGUUAAAAAGCUCGUAGUUGAAUUUCGGGAUCAAUAUAUCGGUCGUGCCAUCGGUACGUACUGGUAUCAUUGGUUUCUCCUUUCUGACGAACCUUGAUGUCAUUAAUUUGGUGUCUUGGGGAAUCAGGACUGUUACUUUGAAAAAAUUAGAGUGUUUAAAGCAGGCUCGCGCUUGAAUACAUUAGCAUGGAAUAAUGAAAUAGGACGUUUGAUUCUAUUUUGUUGGUUUCUAGGAUCGACGUAAUGAUUAAUAGGGAUAGUUGGGGGCAUUAGUAUUCAAUUGUCAGAGGUGAAAUUCUUGGAUUUAUUGAAGACUAACUACUGCGAAAGCAUUUGCCAAGGAUGUUUUCAUUAAUCAAGAACGAAAGUUAGGGGAUCGAAGACGAUCAGAUACCGUCGUAGUCUUAACCAUAAACUAUGCCGACUAGGGAUCGAAUGAUGUUAAUUUUUUAAUGACUCAUUCGGCGCCUUACG
RNAcentral lists this ribosomal RNA (500 nucleotides) under uncultured Glomeromycotina. Its description in RNAcentral is "partial small subunit ribosomal RNA". It matches the Rfam family "Eukaryotic small subunit ribosomal RNA", at positions 591 to 1092 of the family's 1831-position model. Lineage: Eukaryota; Fungi; Glomeromycota. The record is from RNAcentral.